GAUGAACGCUGGCGGCGUGCCUAAUACAUGCAAGUCGAGCGAACAGACGAGGAGCUUGCUCCUCUGACGUUAGCGGCGGACGGGUGAGUAACACGUGGAUAACCUACCUAUAAGACUGGGAUAACUUCGGGAAACCGGAGCUAAUACCGGAUAAUAUAUUGAACCGCAUGGUUCAAUAGUGAAAGACGGUUUUGCUGUCACUUAUAGAUGGAUCCGCGCCGCAUUAGCUAGUUGGUAAGGUAACGGCUUACCAAGGCGACGAUUCGUAGCCGACCUGAGAGGGUGAUCGGCCACCCUGGAACUGAGACACGGUCCAGACUCCUACGGGAGGCAGCAGUAGGGAAUCUUCCGCAAUGGGCGAAAGCCUGACGGAGCAACGCCGCGUGAGUGAUGAAGGUCUUCGGAUCGUAAAACUCUGUUAUUAGGGAAGAACAAAUGUGUAAGUAACUAUGCACGUCUUGACGGUACCUAAUCAGAAAGCCACGGCUAACUACGUG
This 497-nucleotide ribosomal RNA is filed under the name uncultured bacterium. Its description in RNAcentral is "partial 16S ribosomal RNA". It matches the Rfam family "Bacterial small subunit ribosomal RNA", at positions 28 to 507 of the family's 1533-position model. The record is from RNAcentral.